GACGAACGCUGGCGGCGUGCUUAACACAUGCAAGUCGAACGAUGAACCCGGAGCUUGCUCCGGUGGAUUAGUGGCGAACGGGUGAGUAACACGUGAGUAACCUGCCCUUGACUCUGGGAUAACUGCUAGAAAUGGUAGCUAAUACCGGAUACGACCCUCGGAGGCAUCUCCAGGGGGUGGAAAGAAUUUCGGUCAAGGAUGGACUCGCGGCCUAUCAGCUAGUUGGUGAGGUAAAGGCUCACCAAGGCGACGACGGGUAGCCGGCCUGAGAGGGUGACCGGCCACAUUGGGACUGGAGACACGGCCCAGACUCCGUACGGUGGCGACG
RNAcentral lists this ribosomal RNA (328 nucleotides) under uncultured Actinomycetes bacterium. RNAcentral describes it as "bacterial SSU rRNA". It matches the Rfam family "Bacterial small subunit ribosomal RNA", at positions 28 to 353 of the family's 1533-position model. The record is from RNAcentral. Lineage: Bacteria; Bacillati; Actinomycetota; Actinomycetes.